GGGGGUAUAACUCAACUUGGUAGAGUGUAUGCUUUGCACGCAUAAAGUUAUCGGUUCAAAUCCGAUUGUCUCCA
RNAcentral lists this transfer RNA (74 nucleotides) under Schizostauron trachyderma. RNAcentral describes it as "tRNA-Ala". It matches the Rfam family "tRNA". Rfam says of the family: Transfer RNA (tRNA) molecules are approximately 80 nucleotides in length. Their secondary structure includes four short double-helical elements and three loops (D, anti-codon, and T loops). Lineage: Eukaryota; Bacillariophyta; Bacillariophyceae; Naviculales; Stauroneidaceae. The record is from RNAcentral.